UACGUAGGUGGCAAGCGUUACCCGGAUUCACUGGGCGUAAAGGGGGUGUAGGCGGCUCGGUAAGUCGGGUGUGAAAUCCCACGGCUCAACCGUGGAAUUGCGCCCGAAACUGCUGAGCUUGGGGCCGGUAGAGGGAGACGGAACUGCCGGUGUAGGGGUGAAAUCCGUAGAUAUCGGCAGGAACGCAGGUGGGGAAGCCGGUCUCCUGGGCCGCGCCCGACGCUGAGGCCCGAAAGCUAGGGGAGCAAACCGG
Molecule: ribosomal RNA, 253 nt
Filed under: uncultured bacterium
Lineage: Bacteria
Description: partial 16S ribosomal RNA
Rfam family: Bacterial small subunit ribosomal RNA
Source: RNAcentral